Non-coding RNA from Camellia sinensis, 1093 nucleotides. The record is from RefSeq and is a predicted model, not a curated record. NCBI's taxonomy places the organism in Eukaryota, Viridiplantae, Streptophyta, Magnoliopsida, Ericales, Theaceae.
UGUGCAGAUGUGGGAGGAAUGAUUCAAUCAAAGAGACUUAUUUUAUGGCUUUGAGGCCUCUGGGCUUCUGUGCUACUGCAUCUCUUUUUGGUGCAGCCCUCUCGCAAUUAUCUAGGCACUCUGAUCUUGUCUUCUCAAUCCUGUGGAUUUACAUAACUUUUUCUCCAUGAGAGAUGAAGAGGGUCAAAGUAAGCUAGCAAUAUUGGACUGGGCGGAGCAUAGUGGCCCUUUGAAUUAAGGUACACUAAUUAGGAAUUUCAUGUGAAUAACGUGAUAACAUUUUGUCGCAUGGAAUAACGGAUUGUCUUGUGAAUAUUUUAUAUGAGAGAAUAAUGGUCUCACUUUCUAGAGAUAAUCACCCAACUAGGGGCAUGUAAGACAGUUAUCAUUAAGUGAUUUUUAGAGAACAAACAUCAUACUCUUUGAAGAUGAUGCACACCGAAUCUCAAAUUUUUGCAUUUUCUUACUCAUAAACCUUUUUGUUUCCAAUCACUUCGGAGGAGUCUAUUUGGCAGCCAAACAUAUAGCCGGGCAACACUAACAAUACACUCCGAUGUGCAGGUUAUAGUUCUUGGUCAUGGAACUCUUUCUUUUGUGCUGAUUUCAUCCCACAUGUGAGGUUUCUUAAUUCUUGAUGCAUCUUGCAAUAUUAGGGUACAUAUUCCCCAUCUUCUUGGUUGGAGCACAUUUGGAUCCGCAAAUACUAAAGAAAAUAGAAAAGGAAAAUUAAUUGGCAUUCCAAACAGUAGCCUUGGAAGAUGAUGAAUUCUGGGUUUCGGGCAUCAUUUUCCUCCAUCGUAACUAGUCCAGAUUUUGUGUGAUAACACUACCCGUCUCUCACAAAUCUCAAGGAGAAGUUUCUGAUUUUGAAGACACUUUCUUCCAGUUUUCAUUCCCGUUUUCUUUUUGAGGAGAAAAGGAUGUUGGAGAAGAAGAUUAACUUGUCAUGCAAUGUUUAUGCUUAAUUUUACCUAGUCAGGACCUCCAAUUUGGAAGGCUUCGCUAUGUUUACGACACUAAAUUUUCCCUAAGCUUUAAUGAAUAACAAAUGCCUCUAGAGCAGAUAAAAAACAAAAAAAAAAAAAUAUAUAUA